Mustela erminea (ermine) is the source of this 115-nucleotide long non-coding RNA. RefSeq lists it as uncharacterized. The transcript is spliced from 3 exons. Lineage: Eukaryota; Metazoa; Chordata; Mammalia; Carnivora; Mustelidae. The record is from RefSeq and is a predicted model, not a curated record.
GUGUAGUUUUUUAUGUUUUGAUUUUUAGCUAUUCUGGCAGGUGGGAGAUUAAAUCUCAUUGUGGUUUUGAUUUGCAUUUACCUGAUGAUGAGUGAUGCUGAGUAUCUUUUCAUGU